Molecule: ribosomal RNA, 253 nt
Filed under: uncultured bacterium
Lineage: Bacteria
Description: partial 16S ribosomal RNA
Rfam family: Bacterial small subunit ribosomal RNA
Source: RNAcentral
UACGGGGGGAGCAAGCGUUGUUCGGAUUUACUGGGCGUAAAGGGCGCGUAGGCGGCGCAACAAGUCACUUGUGAAAUCUCCGGGCUUAACCCGGAGCGGCCAAGUGAUACUGUCGUGCUAGAGUGCGGAAGGGGCUACUGGAAUUCUCGGUGUAGCGGUGAAAUGCGUAGAUAUUGGGAGGAACACCAGUGGCGAAGGCGGCUCACUGGACCGGUACUGACGCUGAUGCGCGAAAGCGUGGGGAGCAAACGGG